RNAcentral lists this ribosomal RNA (449 nucleotides) under uncultured bacterium. Its description in RNAcentral is "partial 16S ribosomal RNA". It matches the Rfam family "Bacterial small subunit ribosomal RNA", at positions 29 to 523 of the family's 1533-position model. The record is from RNAcentral.
AAUGAACGCUGGCGGUAGGCCUAACACAUGCAAGUCGAACGGAUCCCUCGGGAUUAGUGGCGGACGGGUGAGUAACGCGUGGGAACAUACCCAAAGGUACGGAAUAGCCUCGGGAAACUGGGAGUAAUACCGUAUGUGCUCGAAAGAGGAAAGAUUUAUCGCCUUUGGAUUGGCCCGCGUUGGAUUAGGUAGUUGGUGGGGUAAUGGCCUACCAAGCCGACGAUCCAUAGCUGGUUUGAGAGGAUGAUCAGCCACACUGGGACUAAGACACGGCCCAGACUCCUACGGGAGGCAGCAGUGGGGAAUCUUAGACAAUGGGGGAAACCCUGAUCUAGCCAUGCCGCGUGAUCGAUGAAGGCCUUAGGGUUGUAAAGAUCUUUCAGGUGGGAAGAUAAUGACUGUACCACCAGAAGAAGUCCCGGCUAACUCCGUGCCAGCAGCCGCGGUAA